CAGUCGCCGCGGUAAUACGAAGGGUGCAAGCGUUAAUCGGAAUUACUGGGCGUAAAGCGUGUGUAGGUGGUUGUUUAAGUCUGUCGUGAAAGCCCUGGGCUCAACCUGGGAAUUGCGAUGGAUACUGGGCGACUAGAGUGCGGUAGAGGAUAGUGGAAUUUCCGGUGUAGCAGUGAAAUGCGUAGAGAUCGGAAGGAACAUCUGUGGCGAAGGCGACUAUCUGGGCCAACACUGACACUGAGACACGAAAGCGUGGGGAGCAAACAGGAUUAGAUACCCGCGUAGUCCCUGUCUCUUAUAC
RNAcentral lists this ribosomal RNA (301 nucleotides) under uncultured bacterium. RNAcentral's name for it is "partial 16S ribosomal RNA". It matches the Rfam family "Bacterial small subunit ribosomal RNA", at positions 509 to 807 of the family's 1533-position model. The record is from RNAcentral.